Molecule: ribosomal RNA, 504 nt
Filed under: uncultured bacterium
Lineage: Bacteria
Description: partial 16S ribosomal RNA
Rfam family: Bacterial small subunit ribosomal RNA
Source: RNAcentral
AUUGAACGCUGGCGGCAGGCCUAACACAUGCAAGUCGAGCGGUAACACAGGGAGCUUGCUCUCGGGUGACGAGCGGCGGACGGGUGAGUAAUGUCUGGGAAACUGCCUGAUGGAGGGAGAUAACUACUGGAAACGGUAGCUAAUACCGCAUAAUGUCGCAAGACCAAAGAGGGGGACCUUCGGGCCUCUUGCCAUCAGAUGUGCCCAGAUGGGAUUAGCUAGUAGGUGGGGUAACGGCUCACCUAGGCGACGAUCCCUAGCUGGUCUGAGAGGAUGACCAGCCACACUGGAACUGAGACACGGUCCAGACUCCUACGGGAGGCAGCAGUGGGGAAUAUUGCACAAUGGGCGCAAGCCUGAUGCAGCCAUGCCGCGUGUAUGAAGAAGGCCUUCGGGUUGUAAAGUACUUUCAGCGGGGAGGAAGGCGAUAAGGUUAAUAACCUUGUCGAUUGACGUUACCCGCAGAAGAAGCACCGGCUAACUCCGUGCCAGCAGCCGCCGUAA